GACGAACGCUGGCGGCGUGCUUAACACAUGCAAGUCGAACGGAAAGGCCCCUUUGGGGGUACUCGAGUGGCGAACGGGGGAGUAACACGUGAGUAACCUGCCCUUGACUUCGGGAUAACUUCAGGAAACUGGGGCUAAUACCGGAUAGGAAUCCUUGCUGCAUGGUGGGGGUUGGAAAGCUUCGGCGGUUUUGGAUGGACUCGCGGCUUAUCAGCUUGUUGGUGGGGUAGUGGCUUACCAAGGCUAUGACGGGUAGCCGGCCUGAGAGGGCGACCGGCCACAUUGGGACUGAGAUACGGCCCAGACUCCUACGGGUGGCAGAAGUGGGGAAUAUUGAACCAGGGGCGGAGGCCUGAUGCAGCAACGCCGCGUGCGGGAUGACGGCCUUCGGGUUGUAAACCGCUUUCAGCAGGGGCGAAGCUUGUGGUGACGGUACCUGCAGAAGAAGCACCGGCUAACUACGUG
This 465-nucleotide ribosomal RNA is filed under the name uncultured bacterium. Its description in RNAcentral is "partial 16S ribosomal RNA". It matches the Rfam family "Bacterial small subunit ribosomal RNA", at positions 28 to 507 of the family's 1533-position model. The record is from RNAcentral.